CUGAAAUAAAAUACAUUAAAUACAUUAAAUCUCUCAAUAUUUAGCUAACAGGUAUUUCUGCAUGGCUGUCAACAGAGAAAGAUGCUCUUUGCAGGCAGAUGGUGUAGUUAUUAACUUGCAAGCAUGCUAAAAUCACAAGUUAUUUGUACUCUUUGUAUGCAUGUACUAAUCUGUGGUCUACAGACAUACAUGCACAUCCCACUAUUUCACACUGAUCUAGAAUCAGAUUGCUCAGGUCACAUCUUAUUCACAAUAUGACAGGAAGCACAAACACAGACCUCAGAUAUCUGUGAAAAGGCUCGUGUACACGCCUCAUGUUAAAGGAAGUAGAUGCUGUGCAAGUUUUGUUAGUUUAAAAAAUAUUGAGUUCCUUUUGCACACCAGUAGAGCCAUCAAAGCUGCUUAAGAGUAUAGUAAUGACUUAAACUAGGAAGUACUCAUAUAAAGUGGUCUACAGUGGAAUAUAACAAGGUUUACACACAAAAUGAAGUUCUGUGUUUUGGGGAUCUGGAUUUGUCUGUCAGGUGAGUUCUCAAGAGUAACUUGGCUGAGGAUUUGUUCCUCUAAAAUGAUCAGCUGCUGGUUGAUACCCUUGUUAUUCCUCACUGAUGUUCAAGUAAAGAAGUCAAUAAACAACCAGUUUCCUCUUCAUGACAUGUACAUGUGACGAAUGCAUCAUGAGAUGAAGCAUAUAAUUCUAAACAUGCAAACAAAGGGAACCAAUGUCAUGCUGAUACAACCUAAAUCAGAGUUAAUUUUAACAGCUACUGCUGUAAUCUGUUGCCAAAUUUUGAUCAGAUCAGUUUCUCCACACAAUGUGAAAGAUACGUUGUGUCUGUUUUUGAGAACUGCAUAUUUUCUGCUGAGAUAACAACAAAUAGAGGUCAUAGUUUGUCACAUCACAACAUUACUAAGCAAAUGUAUGGUGAUAUCUUAAACCACAACUAAAUCUAUUGAUCCAAAUAAUCCGAUAUUAUUAAAACACGAGUUAUAGAAAUGAAAAUGGCAUGUCUCAUGUGAAUGAUGCUGAAACAUGUUGUUUAUUGCAUCCAGCAGAAAUUGGGAUUUCAGCUACAGAUGGAACAGAUAUACAUGGAUACAGUGGAAAAGGUGUCACAAUUACAAGUUCCCACAGCUGGGCUUCGACCAACAUAAAGUAUUUCUGCAGAGCUCCAUGUAAGAUUUAUUAGUGAAAUCUGACCAGUAACCUACAGGAAGAUACAGACUGGAGGAUUUUGGAAAUGGCACCUUCACUGUGAGCAUCACUGAUCUACAGGAGUCAGACUCUGGCAUUUACUGGUGUGGAGUGAAGAGAGCUGUAACAGAAACACAUAACACAAUCAGUCUGACAAUAUCUAAAGACACAAACACAACAGAUCCACAACUCCUAAAUCAGCAGCAAGUUCUCAAUCCACAACAACAAAAAGUUCAUUCUCCACAUCUGGUGACAUCACAACCGCAUCUUCCUGAAAAGGAUUUACAGAUCCUGCCAUUUCAUCCAGACCAGCAUUUAAUGAGAGCAGUGCACAAUAUUCACUCUCCUCAGGUGCUCUGAUGUUCUCAUCUGUCGGUCUGACUGUGAUGGUGAUCAUAUUUGGGGUUGUUCUCUGUAUAUGCAAAAGGCAAAAGAACAAGUCACACAGUUCCAAUGAUGAUGCUGAAAUCCAAGGCACCACAUGUACCACAGAGACUGCUGGUGAUUAUGAGGAGAUCACAGAGACCCAACAGCGGACUGAAACACACACAAACAUCACCACUUAUUCUACUGUCAAAAUAAGUACAGCAGCCAAUCAGAUCCAAGAUCCUCCACUAUCCUCCACCCUCUCCAUUUAAUCAUAGCCCAGCUUCACCAAAUGAUCUCCAAACUCCAGUACUGAUACAGCUACUGUACAUAUGCACACUUGCAACACUUUUUACUCUUUAACUUGUGUCAGUCAGUAUAGUGGACUGUG
Molecule: long non-coding RNA, 1952 nt
Organism: Cyprinus carpio (common carp)
Lineage: Eukaryota; Metazoa; Chordata; Actinopteri; Cypriniformes; Cyprinidae
Exons: 6
Source: RefSeq, a predicted model, not a curated record